AACGAACGCUGGCGGCGCGUUUUAAGCAUGCAAGUCGAACGGUAACAGGCCUUCGGGCGCUGACGAGUGGCGGACGGGUGAGUAACGCGUAGGAAUCUGCCUCAUAGUGGGGGGACAACGUGGGGAAACUCACGCUAAUACCGCAUACGCCCUACGGGGGAAAGCGGGGGAUCUUCGGACCUCGCGCUAUGAGAUGAGCCUGCGUUAGAUUAGCUAGUUGGUAGGGUAAAGGCCUACCAAGGCGACGAUCUAUAGCUGGUCUGAGAGGACGAUCAGCCACACUGGGACUGAGACACGGCCCAGACUCCUACGGGAGGCAG
This 320-nucleotide ribosomal RNA is filed under the name uncultured Pseudomonadota bacterium. Its description in RNAcentral is "bacterial SSU rRNA". It matches the Rfam family "Bacterial small subunit ribosomal RNA", at positions 29 to 351 of the family's 1533-position model. Lineage: Bacteria; Pseudomonadati; Pseudomonadota. The record is from RNAcentral.